UGUGUGGUUCAGAAACCAAAGAACCUCUGAAUUUCCAAACAGAGAUCAACAAAACAGAGAUAUCAGAGUAUAUCACGGAGGAAUCUACAGCUGCAGAGGAACAAGAGGAAACCCAGUUUACUACACUGAUAUAAGUGAUCAUGUCACCAUUGAUAUAACCUUUUCCAUUAAAGUUGUUGUAAAACAACAACCCAACUGGCCUCAGUUAUUCAGAGGUGAGACAAUCACUCUGACAUGUGAGGUGCAGGAAGGAGGUAAAACCACUGGGUGGCUUUCUGAAUGGAGAGGACCCGGGACAGCUACACGGUUGAAACUCUAAUUUUUGGACAUUCGGAGUUUCUGAGUCCAGCAGUGGAGACUACAUGUGUAAGAAUCGACGUGACCGAUAUUCUUCAACCGAGUGGAGUGAAGCCAUCACAUUAUCAAUAUCAAAUCAACCAAAGGCUCAAAUAACGUCUGAUAUGAGAGACGUUCCAGUAGGGGGCAAUGUGACCCUGAAAUGUUCAGUGAACCCAUCAUCAUAUGGAUGGAAAUACUACUGGUGCAGAGAUGAGAACUAGUCUGAACCCCUGACCCCACAAGAUGCAGUUUUCCACUCAAAUGGACAAAUCACAGUCUCACAGAAAGGACUCUACAGAUGCAGAGGAGGCAGAGGAAACCCAGUUUACUACACAGAGGACAGUGAGCCCUUCAGCAUUGAUAAAAAUGAUUCUCUCCGGAUUCUCCAUCUUCUUCCCACGGUCCACAGAGUUGGAAACUGCAGGCAGCGCAACAUUUUUAAUCAGACAAAGAGCUUCACGUGAUGCUACGUCCAGUUCUUCAUUUCUUGUUCUGAUGAUCACGGGACUCAUUUCUGGAAUCAUAUUUAUUUUCCUCCUGUUCCUGUUCCUGUACAAAAAAGUCUACAAAAAGAAAUGUUCUGCUGAUGACCCGAGGGUGAGUCAGGAUGAAAAUCAACAACAAGUCUACUCCUCUCUUUUUCAUGGUGAGGAUUCUGUCUAUGAAACAAUCAGAGACUCUGGAAAUACUCAGAAUGCUGGGUGACCUGUGUGAUGUAGGUCCAGUGGGUCCUUCUUGUGGAAACUCAACGAUUCUUUCUAUCCAAAGUGGGCGAACUAUGAGAAGUGACGGUAGUUUGAUCAUCUCCUUUCCUCAUAACUGAAAAGUUAUUCUCACUCUCAAACAUCAGACCUUUGUCAGGUCCCAUUCACUCAUAUUUGCCACCAUUCACGGACCAUCAAGUUGCAAACUAUGGGCACAAAUAUACAUUAACGUUUUCUAGUAAAGUAUUUAGGUUUAACGUUUAGCUAAACAUCCGAAAUAUGUUUAAAAAAAUGUUCUCUGAUGUUUUGUUUUCAUACUAUUUAUGUUUUAAUUUCUCACAAAUGUAAAAAAAAGUCCAUAUCCAAAAAUGACCAUGCAAACAUUAAAUAUAAGUGAGGCAACUCUCUAAAAGGUUCAUUAAUUACAUUACCUGUGU
Molecule: long non-coding RNA, 1480 nt
Organism: Oreochromis niloticus (Nile tilapia)
Lineage: Eukaryota; Metazoa; Chordata; Actinopteri; Cichliformes; Cichlidae
Exons: 8
Source: RefSeq, a predicted model, not a curated record